This 1053-nucleotide long non-coding RNA is filed under the name Ficedula albicollis (Collared flycatcher). Its description in RNAcentral is "lncRNA (ENSFALG00000027738.1)". Lineage: Eukaryota; Metazoa; Chordata; Aves; Passeriformes; Muscicapidae. The record is from RNAcentral.
AUGAACAUCUGUGCCCUACAGAACCUCUGUGCCCUACAAAACCUCUGUCCUACAGAACCCCUGUGCCCUACAGAACAUCUGUGCCCUACAGAACCUCUGUGCCCUACAAAACCUCUGUCCUACAGAACCCCUGUGCCCUACAGAACAUCUGUGCCCUACAGAACCUCUGUGCCCUACAAAACCUCUGUCCUACAGAACCCCUGUGCCCUACAGAACAUCUGUGCCCUACAGAACCUCUGUGCCCUACAAAACCUCUGUCCUACAGAACCCCUGUGCCCUACAGAACAUCUGUGCCCUACAGAACCUCUGUGCCCUACAAAACCUCUGUCCUACAGAACCCCUGUGCCCUACAGAACAUCUGUGCCCUACAGAACCACUGUGCCCUACAAAACAUCUGUCCUACAGAACCCCUGUGCCCUACAGAACACAAAACAUCUGUAUCCUGCAAAACCCCUGUGCCCUACAAAAGCCCUGUUCUCUACAAACCCUCUGUGCCCAGAAAACCUCUGUCCUACAGAACCUCUGUGCCCUACAAAACAUCUGUGCCCUACAGAACCCCUGUGCCCUGGGAGCCACCAGCCCUGGGCAAGGCUGUGUCCUACAAAACCUCUGUCCUACAAAAGCUCUAUGUCCUACAAAACAUCUGUAUCCUGCAAAACCCCUGUGCCCUACAAAACAUCUGUAUCCUGCAAAACCCCUGUGCCCUACAAAAGCCCUGUUCUCUACAAACCCACUGUGCCCUACAAAACAUCUGUCCUACAGAACCCCUGUGCCCUACAGAACCCCUGUGCCCUACAAAACCUCUGUCCUACAGAACCCCUGUGCCCUACAGAACAUCUGUGCCCUACAGGCUGUGCUUGGUCUGCUCUGGCUUUGGGAUUGGGCUUUGAGAUUGGGAUUGUCCCCGUGUCCCUGUUCCUGUGUCCCCAUGUCCCCAUGCCCGUAUCUCCAUGUCCAUGUCCCUGUCUCUGUUCCUGUCCCCACAUCCCUGACCCCAUAUCCCCCUGUCCCCAUAUCCCAUGUCCCUGUGUUCCCAUGUCUCUGUGUCCAUAA